AGAUUUCCCAUUACGUAAGUAAGUAAGAUCCCUGAAAGAUGAUCAGGUAGAUAGGAUGGAAGUGGAAGUGCUGCGAGGCAUGGAGCGGACCAUUACUAAUCGAUCGAGGACUUAACCAAA
Molecule: ribosomal RNA, 120 nt
Filed under: Ligilactobacillus salivarius
Lineage: Bacteria; Bacillati; Bacillota; Bacilli; Lactobacillales; Lactobacillaceae
Description: partial 23S ribosomal RNA
Rfam family: Bacterial large subunit ribosomal RNA
Source: RNAcentral